CCUGGAGGAACCCAUGCCUGGACAAAGGACAGGAGCGGGGCUAGAAGGAGGGCGAAAGAGGCCGUUUGCCGCCGCCACCUCACGCGCCCCUGCGCGCGGCAGGUCGCUGGCGGGGCGAGUGAGCAAGAGAAUGAAAUACACCUUUUCUCACAUGAAAAUGAACCUUGGGGAGGCAUUGGUGCUUUGAUUGCUUACAAACAAUGCAAGGAAGCCAGCACCAUCACCGCAGCAAAUGUUUAUAUCAACAUUGUCAGGGCAGGAAGCCAACACCACUACCACAGCAGAGGUUUAUCUCAACACUGUUAAGGCAGCAAACCCACCAACUGACACCAUGGAGCAACAGAGGGAGCUAAUCCUGAGAAACUUCAUCAAACCCCUGCGCAUGCACCCAGACCCAAUCGAGGAUCAAGGGGUCUGGAGACCUCUGAAGACCACCUGACGGUAUUGGACACACACACCACUGCCGGGUGGAAGGUGUGGUUAAGCAGAACAGCUUGUGACAAUCGUAUAAAACAAUGGAACCAACCAACAUCGGAUGGAAUGUUCCCCCACCACACUUGGAAAUGGAUCAGACUGACUGGGACGCUGCAGCUCUGGGGUGGUAGCUAUUGCUGUGAAGUCUUUCAUUCUUUCCUUCCUUUCUCUCUUUAUCUCUCGCUCUCUCCUUUGCAUUUGCAAACCUGUUGUUGGGCAAAUAAAGUUCCUUGGCUCUUG
Long non-coding RNA from Falco peregrinus (peregrine falcon), 714 nucleotides. RefSeq lists it as uncharacterized. The record is from RefSeq and is a predicted model, not a curated record. The transcript is spliced from 3 exons. Lineage: Eukaryota; Metazoa; Chordata; Aves; Falconiformes; Falconidae.